Molecule: unclassified non-coding RNA, 300 nt
Filed under: uncultured fungus
Lineage: Eukaryota; Fungi
Description: partial contains small subunit ribosomal RNA, internal transcribed spacer 1, and 5.8S ribosomal RNA
Rfam family: Eukaryotic small subunit ribosomal RNA (bases 1-73)
Source: RNAcentral
GCAAACUUGGUCAUUUAGAGGAAGUAAAAGUCGUAACAAGGUUUCCGUAGGUGAACCUGCGGAAGGAUCAUUACCGAGUGCGGGCCCUCGCGGCCCAACCUCCCACCCUUGUCUCUAUACACCUGUUGCUUUGGCGGGCCCACCGGGACCACCCGGUCGCCGGGGGACGCUCGUCCCCGGGCCCGCGCCCGCCGAAGCGCUCCAAGAACCCUGAUGAAGAUGGGCUGUCUGAGUACUAUGAAAAUUGUCAAAACUUUCAACAAUGGAUCUCUUGGCUCUCGCAUCGAUGAAGAACGCAGC